UGGGGAAUUUUGGACAAUGGGCGAAAGCCUGAUCCAGCAAUGCCGCGUGUGUGAAGAAGGCCUUCGGGUUGUAAAGCACUUUUGUCCGGAAAGAAAUCCUUGGCUCUAAUACAGUCGGGGGAUGACGGUACCGGAAGAAUAAGCACCGGCUAACUACGUGCCAGCAGCCGCGGUAAUACGUAUGGUGCAAGCGUUAAUCGGAAUUACUGGGCGUAAAGCGUGCGCAGGCGGUUUGCUAAGACCGAUGUGAAAUCCCCGGGCUCAACCUGGGAACUGCAUUGGUGACUGGCAGGCUAGAGUAUGGCAGAGGGGGGUAGAAUUCCACGUGUAGCAGUGAAAUGCGUAGAGAUGUGGAGGAAUACCGAUGGCGAAGGCAGCCCCCUGGGCAAUACUGACGCUCGUGCACGAAAGCGUGGGGAGCAAACAGGAUUAGAUACCCCUGGGUAGUCCACGCCCUAAACGAUGUCAACUGUUGUUGGGGAUUCAUUUCCUUAGUAACGUAGCUAACGCGUG
Molecule: ribosomal RNA, 513 nt
Filed under: uncultured bacterium
Lineage: Bacteria
Description: partial 16S ribosomal RNA
Rfam family: Bacterial small subunit ribosomal RNA
Source: RNAcentral